UCAGGAAGCACUGACUGAAAGCCACAUAGUCUCCCAUAGCACAUGCCUUCCUCUUACCCCUUAGAGCAGCUUCCAGCUGGAGCUGGGACCAGCUUCCUGUGCUUGGGCCUCUAGAAUAUGCCCAUACUUCAUUUGUCACUGAGCAGGCCUUGGCUUCAGAGGCCACAGCUGCUGGUGAGUUGGGCAUCAUCAGGGACGUCCCUACGUCAGCCAUGUGCACAUCUGAGUUCUGUGGGGCCAUGGAUACUAGGGAGCACAGGAGAAUGCUGCGAUGCCUCCAGGCUGGGGUGAACAGGGCCAACAUGGUGGCUUAUGUAUCAUCACUGCUCUCCCUAGACUCUCAAACCUUGGACCAAAUCUGAAUCAUCCAGGGAUUCAUGGACUCCUGGCCCCACAUGCAGGGCUCCUGAUUCAGCCCAUCUGGGUGGAGACAGAUUUUAUAUUUCCACAAGUUCCCUGGGGAUGCUGUUAUACUUAUGAUGUAUCAGCCACCUGUCCUCCCACUGUUCUUAUGAGGCAAUAAUUGACUUGCUCUUAACAGAGUCUGCUCUUCAGACUCUUGAGCUCUGGGGUCCCUGGGUGGCCCGUGAGGUUGCCCAGUGCCUUGGGCUGAUGCUGCAACUGGCAGAGGGACUACAGUCUGACAGCCACUGCCCUAGCAUGUUCCUACCUCUGACCAUAGCGCCUGCUACCACCAGUGUCUGUCCCAGGGAUGCAUCUCACUGACAGCCCACCUGCUAUCACAUCAACCUUCUCUGGCUCUCGGGAGCCACUACAGUUGGACUUUUCCAAGUGAUUGUGUUCACUGGGCUGAAAUUACAUCAAGCCAUCCCCCAGCCUGGGCACUCCACACUCGUUCUCAGGGCGGUGGGUAGGAUCUUCACUUUCAUCUAGGCACCAGGGCUGCAGGAGCCAGUUGGAGGACAUUACUGCUCUGACGAACCUCACUGUGACUGGGCUGGGCAAAGGGAUCCAACAACAUAAGACCCUACAGACCGGUGCUGGGGUCCAUCACCAGAAGGUAGAUACGUACUAUUAUCCUCAUUGUGCAGAGCAGAAAACUGAGACCUGGAGAAGUCAAGGGACUUCUCCCAAGGUCACAAGGCUGAGGUUCAAACCAGGCCUGAGGCAAGAAUACACAUGGAGGUCCAGGCAUCUAAAAGUUCUAUGGAAUGAUUACAAAUCACUCACAAGUUGGUAAGUAAAAUAUGCUUAGCUACCUUUGAAAAAUGUAGCUCCAUAGCCUGGAAGGCCAGGCUCCACAGAGGCUCACAGGACAGAGCAGAGGCAGAGCUGGCCCAACCCAAGGCCUGGCCCUUUCUCCCAUCCUGCACUGUACAUGUGUUAGUACCCAGCCAACUGUCCAGUCCUCCCCACCACCCCAGCUGCCCUGGCUCCUCAGACCCAGGAGAGUGACCUAGAGAAGAUGGCCCAGGGAAGAGGCCCAGCCUGGUGGUGAGCUUGAGGCCCACUGAGCAGGAAAUGAAGGGCCCUGUGAUUCUGGGGAUCCUUCACUACUAAGGGAAGGGAGCAGUGAAUCAGGGCUCUCUUCAGUGAGGGGCUGACCUAGUCUCGUGCAGUCUGGUGUCCACCAACAUCCAGGGACUUUCCUGCCUGCUGGCCCCUGUGUCUGCUGCCCUAGCCACGGGCAGAGAGAACAGGGCCCCUGCCAUCUCCCUCAGAGGCCUGUGUAGGGGUCACCAAAUGAAGACAGUGCAAGGCCUACUGAUAGUCCCUACAGAGCCAACCUUGCUU
Fukomys damarensis (Damara mole-rat) is the source of this 1755-nucleotide long non-coding RNA. RefSeq lists it as uncharacterized. The record is from RefSeq and is a predicted model, not a curated record. The transcript has 3 exons. Lineage: Eukaryota; Metazoa; Chordata; Mammalia; Rodentia; Bathyergidae.